This 253-nucleotide ribosomal RNA is filed under the name uncultured bacterium. RNAcentral's name for it is "partial 16S ribosomal RNA". It matches the Rfam family "Bacterial small subunit ribosomal RNA", at positions 524 to 776 of the family's 1533-position model. The record is from RNAcentral.
UACGUAGGGUGCGAGCGUUAAUCGGGAUUACUGGGCGUAAAGCGUGCGCAGGCGGUUCGUUAUGUCCGAUGUGAAAGCCCCGAGCUCAACUUGGGAAUGGCAUUGGAAACUGGCGGGCUGGAGUGUGGCAGAGGGGGGUGGAAUUCCACGUGUAGCAGUGAAAUGCGUAGAGAUGUGGAGGAACACCGAUGGCGAAGGCAGCCCCCUGGGCCAACACUGACGCUCAGGCACGAAAGCGUGGGGAGCAAACAGG